AUUGAACGCUGGCGGCAGGCCUAACACAUGCAAGUCGAACGGUAACAGGAAGAAGCUUGCUUCUUUGCUGACGAGUGGCGGACGGGUGAGUAAUGUCUGGGAAACUGCCUGAUGGAGGGGGAUAACUACUGGAAACGGUAGCUAAUACCGCAUAACGUCGCAAGACCAAAGAGGGGGACCUUCGGGCCUCUUGCCCUCGGAUGUGCCCAGAUGGGAUUAGCUAGUAGGUGGGGUAACGGCUCACCUAGGCGACGAUCCCUAGCUGGUCUGAGAGGAUGACCAGCGACACUGGAACUGAGACACGGUCCAGACUCCUACGGGAGGCAGCAGUGGGGAAUAUUGAACAAUGGGCGCAAGCCUGAUGCAGCCAUGCCGCGUGUAUGAAGAAGGCCUUCGGGUUGUAAAGUACUUUCAGCGGGGAGGAAGGGAGUAAAGUUAAUACCUUUGCUCAUUGACGUUACCCGCAGAAGAAGCACCGGCUAACUCCGUG
This 490-nucleotide ribosomal RNA is filed under the name uncultured bacterium. RNAcentral's name for it is "partial 16S ribosomal RNA". It matches the Rfam family "Bacterial small subunit ribosomal RNA", at positions 30 to 507 of the family's 1533-position model. The record is from RNAcentral.